UCAUUUACCCCCUUUUCAACUUCAGUCCUUUUCCUUUUAUGUAUCACACCUCCUGUGCUCCAUCAUUCUGGUAUCAGAGCCCACCACGGGUUCUGGGAAAGGUACCGUACACGAACCGAGCCCGGCCACCAUCUCCAUGGAUGUUCGCCAUGACCACCUAGAAACCCAACUCCAGGAUACCCAAGACACCAUCACUACCCUCCUUUCUACCCAAGAAGCUCACCAAACCUGCAUUUCCUCUCUCCGCAAGUCAGUCGACAGCCUCGCCACCGCCCAAACCAACCUUCAGUCCUCCAUCAAAAACUAGUUUGGUCAGUUGCAGCAAACCUUUUUCGACGAGCUCCGCCACCUCCGCCCUCACCCACACCUCUCACCUUCCUUCAACACCCACCGCCAAGUCUCCACCUUUAUCUCCCCCUUGACCACAUCAUUCGUAUCCACCUCCUUGUCUCCACUUUUACAGAGCAUGUCCCAUCUUCCACCAUUUCCCCCUCCUUUCCAAACUUCACCCGGCCAUACACACCCUCUCUUCCACAACUACUCUCUCCAUCUCCCUCAUUCUCCCUAUUAUCACCUUCCCCUUCGCAACCUGUUUUUCAUUCUCCUACUCCAUUUACCAUCGCACCACACUCUGUUUUUUCCCACCCACACUUCCCUUCUGCCCACCCUAAACUUUUCCCAUGGAUCUCUGAGGCCACUUAAACUUGAUCUCGAACGCUUUUCCAGGGAUGACCCGUACGAAUGGAUCGCUUUUGCGGAGCGCUUCCUCACGUAUUAUGGGGUGCCCGACGAAGAUAAAGUUAUUGUCGCUGCUGUUCACCUCUCCGCCGACGCUUCUUUAUGGAUGCCUUGGUUCGAACAGCGCUUUCCAAAAGGUUGGACCUUUUUUACCACAGCCUUGCUUCAGCACUUUGGCUCGACAGAUAUUUGCGAUUUUGAAGUCUCCCCCUCUCAUGUCCAGCAAACUGGAUCUUUAGCUGACUAUCUUACCCUCUUUACCAAGCUCGCUUGCAGAGCCCCGGAAUGGUCCGAUACUCAGCUCAAAGGGGUUUUUAUCGGCGGCCUCCGAGAGAGGAGCCAGACUUUAAUGUCCAAACUCUUCAACCCAACACCCUGUCUGAAGCUAAACGUUUAUCUCAACUUUUCAAUUCCAAAUUACAGGCUCGACGUACCUCUGCCCGAACCUUUUACCCCCGUACCUCUCCUAACCCCCAACCACACUCCCACAACUCUCCUUCACCUCUGCCACCUUUACCUUCACCCUAGCCCUUACCCCUUUCUUCCCGCCGCCUCUCCCAAGCCGGAGCACAGGAACGUCGCUCCAAGGGCCUCUGUUUUACCUGCGAAGAGAACUACAGACCUGGUCAUCGUUGUCUCAAGCCCAUGCUUGCUCUCAUUGAGGCCACCGUUCCGGAUACUGACUCAUCGGUAUUUCAUGAUUGUCACCAGGAGUUGGUCCCUCCGGAGCAGGUGUCCGUGGAUCAUUCCACUGACUUUACAGUCCAUUCCAUCCAAGGCCCCGAUUAUCCCUGCACAACGCGUUUAUAGGGAACCAUCAAUAAUGUUCCCAUCCAUAUUUUCAUAGAUUCUGGAGCACCAUUCAAUUUCCUCAACCCAAGCCUUGCUACACGUUUAGGCUUCCCAGUUGAUCACUCUGCCCCCUAAACCCUAUACACAGCCACAUGGGAACAAUUACUUACGCAAGGCACCAUUCAAAACCUCUCUCUCUAGAUUCAAGAUUACUUUCUUACUUCUAAUUUCAAGUUAUUACCCGUUGCUGGUUGUGAUCUACUAUUGGGCGCCGAAUGGCUCGAGACAUUGGGUCUUAUUGAAUAGGACUUCAAGAAUAAGAUUAUGCGUUUCCACCUUGGCGAACACUCCUAUUGCUUGACAGGUAUCCAUCGCUCUCCCACCACCGCAAUUGAUGCCAAGCUUAUGACUCAAACUCUCUUGGCUGAACAAGAGGGCUUCUUGGCAUAGCUUAUCCUGUGCUUACCAGACCAUGGAGACAAUACAGCCACUGCACCACCUCCUGCUCUCCACCACCUUUUGGAUACCUUAUCUGACUUGUUCAACACCCCUGCCGCAUUACCGCCACCUCGCCAUAUUGACCACCGUAUUCCCUUACUUCCGGGUGCUACCCCCAUCAACGUCCGGCCUUAUCGAUACCCGCAUCUCCAAAAAUAAGAGAUUGAAAGCCUCAUCCACGAAAUGCUUGCAGUGGGCAUCAUUCGACCAAGUGCAAGCCCUUACUCCUCACCAGUUCUUUUGGUUAGAAAAAAAAGGACGACUCUUGGCGUCAAUGAGUCGAUUACCAUGCCUUAAAUGUUGUCACCAUCAAAGACAGAUUUCCCAUACUUGUUAUAGAUGAAAUCCUCGAUGAACUCAACGGGGCCUCAGUCUUCUCCAAGCUUGAUCUUCGCUCCGGAUAUCAUCAAAUUCGUAUGCACACCGACGACAUUCACAAAACUGCCUUCUGCACACAUGAUGGGCAUUACGAGUUCCUCGUAAUGCCAUUCGGUUUGUCAAGUGCCCCUUCCACCUUUCAAUCCUUGAUGAAUGAUUUAUUUCGCCCUCAUUUAUGCCGUUUUGGUCUUGUCUUCUUUGACGACAUAUUAAUCUAUAGUGAAUCCUUCCAAGACCAUAUCACUCACUUACAAACUGUUUUUGAGAUUCUCAGAACUAAUCACCUCUUUGUGAAGAAAUCCAAGUGUGUUUUUGCCCAACCACAGAUCGAGUACCUUGGCCCACCAUUUCCUGCCAAGGCUUUGCAGUGGAUCAAACAAAAAUUGAUUGCAUUCAAACAUGGUCUAAGCCGUCUUCAUUGCUCGCCCACUAACGCAGCUACUCAAAAAAGACAAUUUUGUGUGGAACCAUGAAGCUGACGCUGCCUUUGCUGCCCUAAAAAAUGCAUUAUCUUCUACGCCAAUGCUUCAGCUGCCCGAUUUCUCCAAACAGUUUACAGUAGAAUGUGUUAAAGGAAAGAAAUUGGUCAACUAUUGUGAUUACCUCAAUCUUAGUAAUUAGCUAAGUUUACGGUCAUUACAGCUACUGUGAUUUACAUACUUAGAAUAGAUUCCAUGCUUACUUAGAAUAGAACUUUCAUUCUGUAUAAAUCUUGUACAUCAUGAUCUCAAGGAAUCAAUACAAUAUAUACAGCUUUCUACAUUCUUACAUGGUAUCAGAGCACCAACAUAGGUGACUCUGUCCAGCACGUCUUCCACUACCAAAACCAAACACACAAACAACCAACCUACACAGCCCAUCAACAUGGGUGAUGAAAAAUCAUCCGGAUCUGAAAUCAACAUGUCUGAUCCACUUAUCCUACACCAUUCCGACUCACCCGGUCUGGUUCUAGUUUCGAAACCUCUCGAAGGCCAUGACUAUGGUCAAUGGAGUCGCUCGAUGCGAAUUUCCUUGAGCGCUAAAAACAAACUAGGAUUCAUUGACGGGACUAUCAAAGCCCCAGCAAAAACUGAUGCCAAAUUCUCCAUUUGGCAGAGAUGCAACGAUAUGGUGUUAUCCUGGAUUUUGCACUCACUACAACCCGACAUCGCAAGCAGUGUACUUUACUGCACCAGCGCAUCCAUGGUGUGGAAUGAUCUUAAAGAUUGGUUCUCACAAGGCAACGACUCCCGAAUUUACCAAAUCCAUCAAGAAAUUGCCGAACAUCGACAAGGCCAUCUUUCGAUUUCAGAGUAUUACACCAAACUCAAGGCCUUAUGGGAUGAAUUGGAUUCAUAUCAUGAACCCAUCAUCUGCACUUGCGAAGGUUCCACAACACGUGCUUCCAGAGAAGAGAAGGAGAGAGUCAUGCAAUUUUUAAUGGGUCUGAACGAACCUUAUUCAACUGUGCGUGGGUCAAUUCUGAUGAUGUCACCGAUCCCAGACACACGUCGUGUCCAUGGCCUGAUCCUCCAACACGAAAGGUAGCUGGACGUGGCAAAUCGACAGACCGGAUCCCAUGCCAUGCAAAUCAUACGUUCUGCAAACACCAAGGGCGGCACCAACCCAGGCAACUCGGCAGCAGCGGCGAAACCUUCUGGUGCUGGGGACGGAAAAUACAGCUCCAACUUCAGGAAGUCUCUAAAAUGUUCUUAUUGUGAUGGAGACACCCACACCAUUGACACUUGCUUUUUCCUUAAUGGAUUUCCUGUAGGCCACAAACUCCAUGGGAAGAAUGUCAAGCCCAAAAACAAACGAGCUGCUUACACUACUGAAAAGGAUCCAACCCCAGGGCCCCACGUCAAAUCCAAUGACAGCCCCACUUUCACUACUGAAGAAUACAAUCAACUGAUCGCUCUUUUACACGAUCGACCUGGUAAUUCUCAUCUUGCAAAUGCAACAGGUAUUGUUACAUCAACCUGCAACCUUUCAUAGCAUGUCCCACUUUCAAAUUUCUAUUGGAUCAUGGACAGUGGAGCAUCAGAUCAUAUUUCGUGUUUUGCACCUUUACACAACACAGUCAAUACUCAACAUGAUUUUGUUGGUUUACCUAAUGGCGGGAAAGCAGCCAUUAAAAACAUUGGAUCCAUUAAAGUGUCUGACACCUUAACUCUAGAUGGUGUUCUUCAUGUACCACAAUUCAAUGUGAACUUAUUGUCUGUGAGCAAAUUGACACGAGGAUUGCAAUGUAUGGUGACUUUCUUUGAUAAAUUUUGUGUUGUGUAGGACGUGAAUACGGGGAGGACGAUUGGCCUGGGCAAGCAAUUUAAUGGGCUCUACUACCUCAAAGCCACCCAAAACCCACAUGUAGCUCAUCAUGUUCACCACACCUUCCAUCUAUGGCAUCAAAGUCUGGGGACACCCAUCCAACCGCCCCCUACUCAAUUUCUUUCCCAAUAAAAUUUCCAGAAAUUAUCUUUUGAUAACAAAUCAUGUUGUGAUAUUUGUCCUUUAGCAAAAGCAAACUCGCUUAUCUUUUUCUCCAUCUACUUCAAUGUCAUCUCAUGCACCUUUUUGAUUUAAUUCAUUGUGACAUUUGGGGGCCACAUAAAAUUCACAAUCAUACUGGUGCUUGAUAUUUUCUAACUAUUGUGGAUGAUUUUACCCGUUUUACAUGGAUCCAUCUCUUAAAUUUUAAAUCAGACACACAAGGGGUGAUAAAAUCUUUUUUCUCUUGGGCCAAAACCCAAUUCAAUCUUCAUGUCAAAACCUUGCGUGCCGACAAUGGGAGUGAAUUUCUUUCCCUCCAACCUUUUUUUCGAGACACCGGUACCUCUUUCCAACACUCAUGUCCAUAUACACCCCAACAAAAUGGCAUCGUCGAACGAAAACAUCGCCAUCUUUUAAAUGUGGCUCGGGCACUCCGUUUUCAGGCCAAUAUUCCUUUACUUUUUUGGGGAGAAAGCUUACACACUGCAUGUUAUCUCAUCAAUCGCCUUCCAACACCAUUACUCCAACACCACUCUCCAUAUAAACUUUUACACCACAAAACUCCUGAUUAUUCAUUUUUACGAGUUUUUGGUUGUCUGUGUUAUGCUACCAAUGUCCUUCCCAAACACAAGUUUGAUGCACGGGCCCGUCGAUGUGUUUUCUUUGGUUAUCCCCUUGGUCAAAAGGGUUAUUGCCUUUAUGACCUCAGCACACAAAUUUUUUUUUCCUCUCGAGAUGUGGUUUUUCACGAAAAUAUAUUCCCUUUCUCUACCUCACCACCUGAACAACAAACUGACACUAUUGUCCUACCCACUCCAGCCCAUGACCCCUUAUCCCAGACCCAGGAAAGCCCCACCUAUUCUUCUUCUCCUCACUCUCUUCCCCAUCCGGCCCAUAGCCCUCAGCCCUUGGCCCACGACCCACCCCUUACUUAUUCACCCUCCCCAUCUCUUAUCCAACCCGUGCCCCCUAUUCUCUCUGGUUCUUCUCCUUCAUCACCGACGCCCACCCAUGCAUCUUCACCAUCCUUCGAUGCCACGGCGUCACCCUCUCCGGCCCUUUCGUCCCUUCCACAACCUCUUCCUCCUUCUCUCACCGACGCCAAUCCCAUUUCUCCCGACCCACCUCUGCGCAAAUCCACCCGAUCUACCAAACCCCCUCCCCAUUUCAAGGACUACCAAGCCCACCAUGCCGCCCUGCUUGCUCCAGGAGUUCCUUCCCCCAUCACGUCAGGUACUCGCUACCCCAUCACUCGGUAUGUCACUCAUUCCAAUUUUUCAGAACCUCAUCGUUUUUUUGUCAACAAUAUCUCCCAAUUAGUUGAACCUAACACUUAUGAGGAGGCACGUCACAACCCCCACUGGGUUGAGGCUAUGAACUCCGAAAUUGCAGCUCUGGAAGCGAACCACACUUGGUCGUUCGUUCCGUUACCGGCUGGCCAUCGUCCGAUUGGGUGCAAAUGGGUUUUCAAACUCAAGUACAAUUCUGAUGGUACCCUGGAGAGAUACAAAGCUCGCUUGGUCGCCAAAGGGUUCACCCAGCGUGAGGGAAUCGAUUAUACUGAGACCUUUACUCCUGUUGCUAAACUUAUCACUGUCCGUUGUCUCCUCACUGUUGCCUCUGUUCACAAUUGGCCGCUUCAUCAGAUGGACGUGCACAACGCUUUCCUUCAUGGCGACCUCCAUGAAGAGGUCUACAUGCUUCCACCGCCAGGUUAUCAACGACAGGGGGAGCACACUGUGUGUCGUCUCCACAAAUCCUUAUAUGGUCUUAAACAGGCGUCUCGAAGUUGGUUUCGUAAGUUUUCCUCUGCUAUACAAAAUAUUGGUUUUUCUCAAUCCAGAGCAGAUUAUUCUAUGUUUACACACAAACAUGGUAAAUCCUUUACUGUUAUAUUGUUGUACGUUGAUGAUAUGAUAAUUACUGGAAAUGAUGAUGAUGCCAUACGAGAUCUUAAACACUUCCUUGGCACUUGUUUCAAAAUCAAAGAUCUUGGACCUUUAAAGUAUUUUCUUGGAGUUGAAAUUGCACGGUCCAAAUCUGGGAUUUCUUUUUGUCAACGGAAGUAUACACUGGAUAUUUUGGAAGAUGCAGGUUUACUUGGUGCAAAGCCUACAAAAAUUCCUAUGGAAGCCAAUGUUGCACCCAUGCCUACAGGGAGUGACCCUCUCAAGGAUCCUACUUGCUAUCGCAGACUUGUUGGCAGGUUAAUCUAUCUCACAAUAACAAGACCCGAAAUCACAUAUGCGGUGAAUACUCUAAGUCAGUUUAUGCAUGAACCCCGAAUGCAUCAUUUUGAGACAGCACGUCGGCUCCUCCACUACCUCAAAGGAGCUCCUGGCCAAGGGUUAUUAUUCCCUUCACACGGGCCCCUCCACUUGACAGCUUACUGUGACGCGGAUUGGGCACGAUGUCCUUUUACACGGCGCUCAGUUACUGGAUACUGUAUAUUCCUUGGCAAGUCACUCAUAUCAUGGAAAAGCAAGAAGCAAGUCACUGUCUCAAGGUCAUCUGCAGAAGCUGAGUACCGUUCUAUGGCAGCCUCCACUUGUGAACUCACUUGGUUGCGAUAUCUCUUACGGGACUUACAAGUGGAACACAACCAGCCAGCCACCUUACUCUGUGACAACAAAGCAGCCCUCUACAUUGCAGCCAACCCAGUGUAUCAUGAACGGACCAAGCACAUUGAAUUGGAUUGCCAUACCAUUCGUGAGAGAAUUCAAAAUGGGGAGAUCAAGACAGUUCAUGUGCAAACCAAACAUCAAGUUGCAGAUAUUUUCACUAAGCCGCUACCUGCCCCCUUGUUCCAAUCCCAUCUUGGCAAGUUGGGUGUAAUUGAUAUUCACACUCCAACUUAAGGGGGAGUGUUAAAGGAAAGAAAUUGGUCAACUAUUGUGAUUACCUCAAUCUUAGUAAUUAGCUAAGUUUACGGUCAUUACAGUUACUGUGAUUUACAUACUUAGAAUAGAUUCCAUGCUUACUUAGAAUAGAACUUCCAUUCUGUAUAAAUCUUGUACAUCAUGAUCUCAAGGAAUCAAUACAAUAUAUACAGCUUUCUACAUUCUUACAGAAUGUGAUGCCUUUCAAGGAGGACUAGGCGCUGUUCUUUCACAAAAUGACCACCCAAUUGCCUUCCUUUCCGAACCUCUGUUAGGAAGAAAUUUGGCACUCUCCGUCUACGAAAAAGAAAUGAUGUCUGUCAUUUUUGCAAUUCAAAAAUGGAGCCCAUACCUUCUUAGCCAACAAUUCCGCAUCAUCACGGAUCACCAGACCCUUCGCCACUUCUUGGAUCAACGUAUUACGACCCCGGUCCAACAACGCUGGCUGCUCAAACUAAUGGGUUACAACUUUGUGCUCCAUUACCGACCUGGCUCCCAAAACUCCGAUGCGGAUGCUCUGUCACGACGCCAUGAACUCCUUCCUCUCUUGGGCAUUUUUACAUAUCUGGAUACCAUCAAGAAGGAUUGUCAUAAAGAACCCGAUACACAGUUGUUUAUCCAGCGCCUCUGCACCAACACCCCCCUCUACCUAAGGGAUUUUCGUGGCACAAUAACACCCUCUUCUACAAGGACAGGUUGUUUGUUCCUCCUAUCAAUGAUUGGCGCUCCAAAAUCCUCCAAGAAUUCCAUGCCUUCCCCGCAGCUGGCCAUUCCGGUUACCUCCGCACUCUUAAACGCGUUCAACAUAACUUUAUGUGGCCCGGUUUACGCUUUGAUGUCAAAGCAUUAUCACCACCUGCGAUACUUGCCAACGCCAACACUACGAAGCCAUCCACCCUCCCGGUCUAUUGCAGCCUCUUCCAAUUCCAGCCGCUUCUUGGCAAUCUAUCAGUACGGACUUCAUAGAGGGUCUCCCUCAUUCCAAAGGAAAAUCAGUGAUCAUGGUAGUGGUUGAUCGUUUAACCAAAUACGCCCACUUCACAGUCUUGGCACAUCCAUUCUCUGCCAAAAACAUUGCAGCUGUCUUUAUCCAAGAGGUCUUCAAACUACGCGGCCUGCCCCAAUCCAUCAUCAGUGAUUGGGAUCUUAUCUUUUUUAGUAACUUCUGGGAAUCUUUCUUUUAGUUGCAGGGAACCAAACUCUGCCACUCAUCAGCGUACCAUCCUCGGUCAAAUGGCCAAACUGAGGUCAUCAAUCACAUUUUGGAACAAUAGCUCCGUUGUACCAUUGGCGACAAACCCACCUCUUGGACCACAUGGCUCCCAUGGGCCGAAUUUGGGUAUAAUACCACUUACCAAGCCACCAUCAAAAUGAGUCCCUUCCAGGCUCUGUAUGGCUACCCCUCACCUCCAGUUAUCUCAUACACCCCUGGUUCUACAGCAGUCCAUGCCGUUGACACAGCCCUCAUUGAUCGUGACCAGCUAUUGAACACCCUCAAAUCCAAUAUCCAAAUGGCCCAAAAUCGAAUGAAGGUUUAUGCCGACAAACAUCGUACCGAGCGCCACUUUAACGUCGAUGAUUAUGUCUACCUUCGACUACAGUCAUACCGCCAACACUCUGUCAUUUUCCGCCAGAACCACAAGCUCUCUUCUCGCUUCUAUGGCCCCUACAAAAUUGCAGCCCGUGUAGGCCAAGUGGCGUAUCGCCUGGAGCUGCCAACCAACAGCAAAAUACAUCCUGUUUUUCACGUUUCAUUGCUCAAACUCAAGCUUGGCACUACCAGCACUGCAAGCACUCAGCUUUCCCCCAUGUAUUCUUCGGGCGCACAAACUUGGGAACCUGAAGCAAUCUUAGAACGUGGCCUCUUCAACCACCGAAAUGCCCCACUCACCAAAUGGCUGAUUAAAUGGAAAGGAUACCCAGCUAGUGACGCCACUUGGGAAGAAGCCCAAUCCAUUUUCUCACGUUUUCCUUCCAACCACGAGGACAGACCUGUUGCUA
RNAcentral lists this long non-coding RNA (9755 nucleotides) under Prunus persica (peach). RNAcentral's name for it is "long non-coding RNA (PPER_LNC005856)". The record is from RNAcentral. Lineage: Eukaryota; Viridiplantae; Streptophyta; Magnoliopsida; Rosales; Rosaceae.